AAUCACCCUCCUUCCUGUUCUUCAACCUCUCCUAGAAAGACUGGCUGAUGACCUUCAACUCCAGAUUGAAGAUUAGCAAAGCCCAAAUCUUCUCAGGGCAAGGAUGGAAGGAAGACAAGGUAUUGCACUCACGUGAAGAGGAUUUAGCCGUGGACACCAGGGCACCGGUGAUGAGGAGGAGGAAGAGGGAGAUGGCAGCCAUGGAGACUUUCAUCCUCCUGGGUUGAGGGAGCUGCUGCAGGAGGAGAACUUGCCUGGUAGGGGCUUCUGAAGCUCCUGGGCUGAGGUGGUGGUGAGAAA
This is a long non-coding RNA of Leopardus geoffroyi (Geoffroy's cat), 300 nucleotides long. RefSeq lists it as uncharacterized. The transcript is spliced from 2 exons. The record is from RefSeq and is a predicted model, not a curated record. Lineage: Eukaryota; Metazoa; Chordata; Mammalia; Carnivora; Felidae.